Molecule: non-coding RNA, 102 nt
Organism: Rhodotorula diobovata
Lineage: Eukaryota; Fungi; Basidiomycota; Microbotryomycetes; Sporidiobolales; Sporidiobolaceae
Source: the annotation of a GenBank genome assembly
GGCCGCGUGGCCCAAUGGCAAGGCGUCUGACUACGACGGCGUGCGCUGCGAAGUGCCCCCGCAUACAUCAGGAGACUCUGGGUUCGAGCCCCAGCGUGGUCA